RNAcentral lists this ribosomal RNA (449 nucleotides) under uncultured Anaerolineaceae bacterium. RNAcentral describes it as "bacterial SSU rRNA". It matches the Rfam family "Bacterial small subunit ribosomal RNA", at positions 919 to 1382 of the family's 1533-position model. Lineage: Bacteria; Bacillati; Chloroflexota; Anaerolineae; Anaerolineales; Anaerolineaceae. The record is from RNAcentral.
ACCCGCACAAGCAGCGGAGCGUGUGGUUUAAUUCGUUGCUACACGAAGAACCUUACCUGGGUUUGACAUAUAGGUUGUAGGGAACUGAAAAGGGACCGACCCUUCGGGGAGCCUAUACAGGUGUUGCAUGGCUGUCGUCAGCUCGUGUCGUGAGAUGUUCGGUUAAGUCCGCUAACGAGCGCAACCCUCGUCGUAUGUUAUAUGUGUCAUACGAGACUGCCGGUAAAAGCCGGAGGAAGGUGAGGAUGAUGUCAAGUCAGCAUGACCUUUAUAUCCAGGGCUACACACACGCUACAAUGGUCUGUACAAUGGGUAGCCAAGCCGCGAGGCGGAGCCAAUCCUGAAAGCAGGCCUCAGUUCAGAUUGCAGUCUGCAACUCGACUGCAUGAAGCCGGAGUUGCUAGUAAACGCAGGCCAGCCAUACUGCGUUGAAUACGUUCCCGGGGCUU